Molecule: ribosomal RNA, 253 nt
Filed under: uncultured bacterium
Lineage: Bacteria
Description: partial 16S ribosomal RNA
Rfam family: Bacterial small subunit ribosomal RNA
Source: RNAcentral
UACGAAGGGGGCUAGCGUUGCUCGGGAUUACUGGGCGUAAAGGGCGCGUAGGCGGCACUGUUAGUCAGGCGUGAAAGUCCUGGGCUCAACCUGGGAACUGCGCUUGAUACGGCAGAGCUAGAGGAUGGAAGAGGCUCGCGGAAUUCCCAGUGUAGAGGUGAAAUUCGUAGAUAUUGGGAAGAACACCGGUGGCGAAGGCGGCGAGCUGGUCCAUUACUGACGCUGAGGCGCGACAGCGUGGGGAGCAAACAGG